UGAACCAAACUUGUUGCUUCGGGGGCGACCCUGCCGACGACUUCGUCGCCGGGCGCCCCCGGAGGUCUUCUAAACACUGCAUCUUUGCGUCGGAGUUUAAACAAAUUAAACAAAACUUUCAACAACGGAUCUCUUGGUUCUGGCAUCGAUGAAGAACGCAGCGAAAUGCGAUAAGUAAUGUGAAUUGCAGAAUUCAGUGAAUCAUCGAAUCUUUGAACGCACAUUGCGCCCUUUGGUAUUCCGAAGGGCAUGCCUGUUCGAGCGUCAUUUCACCACUCAAGCCUGGCUUGGUAUUGGGCGUCGCGGUGUUCCGCGCGCCUUAAAGUCUUCCGGCUGAGCUGUCCGUCUCUAAGCGUUGUGGAUUUUUCAAUUCGCUUCGGAGUGCGGGUGGCCGCGGCCGUUAAAUCUUUAUUCAAAGGUUGACCUCGGAUCAGGUAGGGAUACCCGCUGAACUUAAGCAUAU
This 463-nucleotide ribosomal RNA is filed under the name fungal sp. E14517B. RNAcentral describes it as "eukaryotic LSU rRNA". The stretch from base 114 to 267 matches the Rfam family "5.8S ribosomal RNA". Lineage: Eukaryota; Fungi. The record is from RNAcentral.